CAGAACUCAGCCCAGGAGGGCUAGCCUUGACAAAAUGUUAUAGGGAAAAGAGCAUGUCUGACUUUGGAGUCCGAUAGAUGGAAUUUGGUAAACCAGUUCUCUCUCCCUGUGAUCCCGGGUAAGAUACCUAACCUCCCUCAACUGAUUUCUUUCUCUCUAAAUGGGGCCAAUCGCACCUACUUCUUAGGCUACUGGGACCAGUAACUAUAGUGAAAUCAUUUGAUAACUUCCUCUGAGUAGUAAGGAUUUUCCUGGUACCUGACACUAAUGUGGAUUUGUGUUGUGCCUCAUAGUGAAGGCAAUUUGGACCAUUGGAGAUUGGUUCUGAUUCGCUUCUCAGCUUCCCAUGCCCCUUCUCCAACCAGGCUAGGCUAAGUUUGUUCUUCUGUGGAAGGUGAGGGCUAGUUGGGAAGUCAGGAAGCGACUUCCUGAUGAUCAUUUGGGACUUUUUUCGUUCAAUGUAUGAUGCGUGUUUAAUUUGUAAUGAUUAGUCUGUUUCCUAUAUGUGUAAUAAAUGAAAACGAAAGAAAUAAUUUUUCUCCUUUUUUUUCACACUGACUGAAAGGCCAACUGAAAAAUCGUUGGUUCUUAUUACACACAAUAAUGUAACUCUGCAUUUUAUGCAGUUAAACUUUUUAGACCCUGCUUGCGCAUGUACAGUGCCUAGGACCUUGCCUGGUGCUGAAUGGAUGCUAGUUUCAUCCUUUUGCCCCAUCACUGCCUCCUGCCCAUCUCCAUAGACUGCAUACUCAGGGGAGAACUCCCUGGGAGCCUCUUUUCCAUGGAGUGUGAGCUGGAUUCUCAAGCACUGCUGGAAUCCCAGCACUUGGCUGACAUGGCAGAGGCUGGACAAAAAGACUCCUCAGAGGAGGCAACACUGGUGUACUGAGAACAAGUGAUUUCUGAGCUCAUCUUGAAGGUGAGAAACUGGCCCAUCAGUGCCUGACCCAACACUUACCCAUAGGCAGCCUCUU
RNAcentral lists this long non-coding RNA (974 nucleotides) under Homo sapiens (human). RNAcentral describes it as "HSALNT0171765". The record is from RNAcentral. Lineage: Eukaryota; Metazoa; Chordata; Mammalia; Primates; Hominidae.